Macrobrachium nipponense is the source of this 1041-nucleotide long non-coding RNA. RefSeq lists it as uncharacterized. The transcript is spliced from 3 exons. The record is from RefSeq and is a predicted model, not a curated record. Lineage: Eukaryota; Metazoa; Arthropoda; Malacostraca; Decapoda; Palaemonidae.
UUUAAGGACAUGAGCGGAUUUUGCUGAUCUUGAACGAGAUAAGUUGAAGUUGGAUAUGUUCAUAACAUGGUCAGGUCAUAAAAAACUUGCUUCAUCUGUUUAGUUUGAAAUAGUUUCAGAGAAAGCAAUAUAAAGUACCUUUGCCUCAAGUUAUUCCCUUAUAAGUUAUGAACGUACAGUGGUAUGAUAAUGUCAGUACCAUCUGUGCGCGUGUUAAACAUUCAGGUGAUUUAGCAUAUAGACAUUUUGCAAGGAAACCAGUGUUUGUAAACUUAACCGGGCAAUUCUUGUUUUGCAGCUUGGAGGAAUGGGUUGCCAAAUCUGCUCUAAAUGAAACCCUCUUGAUUCUCCACACCGGAGCCUUAUGGACUGGAUAGAUGUGGAGGUCGACUGUUGAUGAACUGAUGCAGCCGAUAGAUUUUGAAGGUAGUGAGACAAGCCGUACGAGCUGCGAGCAAGAAUCCAAGGUGGGAGUUUUCCCCAAAAGAGAGCAACGUGACUGCACACAAUCGGAAACUCAGCAGUGGGCAAAGUAGAUGAACUCGGUCACCUCUCAGCAGAGGAAGUCGAUGCAGUCACUCAACUCUAGGUGAAAUGGAUGCAGCCAGUCAUAAGAGCGAAGUAUUCAGAGCAUUGCGUUAAUUGCCUACUCCAAGUGGAUCGUGUGAUUAGGCACAAUGAAAUGGGAGAAGCCUUCUGUCUUCCUCGUGCCCUUUCCAAGACGACUUUUCGUUCACUUGGCUAUGGCUGAAGUGCAAGUUUAUUCUUAACCGUUGGAGUCUGACGUCAUUAACGUAGACAUGGUAUACUUCGAUACACGGGGACUUAGCCAAGAUUUCCAACAAAAUGGGCGAAUUUUCUUCAGCCUGUGACAAAUGAUAGCAAGGUUAGAAGAAUACGCACCCGGGAAAAAAUGCAAAGGUCAUGUGUUUCAGGGGAACUGACCAAGCGGAGGCCAUGACACUCGAGGGAACAAAAAAUUCUGAGAAAUCACAGUCUUCUCAUGGGCCUGGGAAAUAAAGUGUACCUUGGGGACUUGAA